GACGAACGCUGGCGGCGUGCUUAACACAUGCAAGUCGAACGGAAAGGCCCUGCUUUUGUGGGGUGCUCGAGUGGCGAACGGGUGAGUAACACGUGAGUAACCUGCCCUUGACUUUGGGAUAACUUCAGGAAACUGGGGCUCAUACCGGAUAGGAGCUCUUGCUGCAUGGUGGGGGAUGGAAAGUUUCGGCGGUUGGGGAUGGACUCGCGGCUUAUCAGCUUGUUUGUGAGGUAGUGGCUUACCAAGGCUUUGAAGGGUAGCCGGCCUGGGAGGGUGGCCGGCGACAAUGGGACUGCGAUACGGCCCAGACUGCUACGGGAGGCAGCAGUGGGGAAUAUUGCACAAUGGGCGGGAGCCAGAUGCAGCAACGCCGCGUGCGUGAUGACGGCCUUCGGGUUGUAAACCGCUUUGGCCUGAGACGAGGCGGGAGUGACGGUAAUGGGUAAGAAAGCACCGGCUAACUACGUG
This 468-nucleotide ribosomal RNA is filed under the name uncultured bacterium. RNAcentral's name for it is "partial 16S ribosomal RNA". It matches the Rfam family "Bacterial small subunit ribosomal RNA", at positions 28 to 507 of the family's 1533-position model. The record is from RNAcentral.